Mustela lutreola (European mink) is the source of this 505-nucleotide long non-coding RNA. RefSeq lists it as uncharacterized. Lineage: Eukaryota; Metazoa; Chordata; Mammalia; Carnivora; Mustelidae. The record is from RefSeq and is a predicted model, not a curated record. The transcript is spliced from 3 exons.
CUGGCCUCUCCUAGACAUCCACACAGCUGAAUUUUUUUUAUCAUGUUAAGUCUUCUCAAAUGUUUCUUUCUCAGUGAAGCUGUUUACAGCCACUUUAUUUUAAACUGCUUUUUAAAAAAAUCCCCAUAGCCUUUCUCCCAUCUCUGAUCUGAUUUCUUCUCAGUUGCUUGUGUAUGCAAUAUACCAUGUAAUAGACUUAUUUACUGUCUGUCUCUCCCUCCCUGGAAUGUAAGCUCCAGAAGGGCAGUGUUCUACUGAACCUCGAACUUAGUAAUGCCACUGCAGUCUGCUUGUGAGAGAUCCCGCCUGUCACCUUAUCCCUACUGCUCAACAGAGAUCACAAGUUCGCAGAGAGGCAGGGAGAGAGGAGAGAGGAGGAAGCAGGCUCCCCACAAAGCAGAGAGCCCCAAUGUGGGGCUCGAUCCCAGGACCCUGGGAUCAUGACCUGAGCCGAAGGCAGAGGCUUUAACCCACUGAGCCACCCAGGUGCCCUGAGGAAAUUAUU